Molecule: ribosomal RNA, 476 nt
Filed under: uncultured Alphaproteobacteria bacterium
Lineage: Bacteria; Pseudomonadati; Pseudomonadota; Alphaproteobacteria
Description: bacterial SSU rRNA
Rfam family: Bacterial small subunit ribosomal RNA
Source: RNAcentral
AGAGUUUGAUCAUGGCUCAGAACGAACGCUGGCGGCAUGCCUAACACAUGCAAGUCGAACGAGACCUUCGGGUCUAGUGGCGCACGGGUGCGUAACGCGUGGGAAUCUGCCCUUGGGUUCGGAAUAACUCGCCGAAAGGCGUGCUAAUACCGGAUGAUGUCGUAAGACCAAAGAUUUAUCGCCCAGGGAUGAGCCCGCGUAAGAUUAGGUAGUUGGUGAGGUAAAGGCUCACCAAGCCGACGAUCUUUAGCUGGUCUGAGAGGAUGAUCAGCCACACUGGGACUGAGACACGGCCCAGACUCCUACGGGAGGCAGCAGUGGGGAAUAUUGCACAAUGGGCGGAAGCCUGAUGCAGCAACGCCGCGUGCGGGAUGACGGCCUUCGGGUCGUAAACCGCUUUCGCCUGUGACGAAGCGUGAGUGACGGUAAUGGGUAAAGAAGCACCGGCUAACUACGUGCCAGCAGCCGCGGUAAUA